AAUCAACGCUGGCGGCGUGCCUCAGACAUGCAAGUCGAACGAGAAAGUUCCCUUCGGGGAAUAAGUAAAGUGGCGCACGGGUGAGUAACACGUAGGUAAUCUACCUUCGGGUGGGGAAUAACCCAGGGAAACUUGGGCUAACACCGCAUAAUGCAGCGGCACCACAUGGUGACAGUUGUUAAAGCGGGGGAUUUUCGGACCUCGCGCCUGAAGAGGAGCCUGCGGCAGAUUAGCAGUUGGUAAGGUAACGGCUUACCAAGGCGACGAUCUGUAGCCGGCCUGAGAGGGCGGUCGGCCACACUGACACUGACAUACGGGUCAGACUCCUACGGGAGGCAGCAGUCGGGAAUUUUGGGCAAUGGGCGCAAGCCUGAUCCAGCCACCGCCG
RNAcentral lists this ribosomal RNA (388 nucleotides) under uncultured bacterium. Its description in RNAcentral is "bacterial SSU rRNA". It matches the Rfam family "Bacterial small subunit ribosomal RNA", at positions 32 to 399 of the family's 1533-position model. The record is from RNAcentral.